This 616-nucleotide ribosomal RNA is filed under the name uncultured Legionella sp. RNAcentral's name for it is "bacterial SSU rRNA". It matches the Rfam family "Bacterial small subunit ribosomal RNA", at positions 242 to 849 of the family's 1533-position model. Lineage: Bacteria; Pseudomonadati; Pseudomonadota; Gammaproteobacteria; Legionellales; Legionellaceae. The record is from RNAcentral.
UAGCUAGUUGGUAGGGUAAAGGCCUACCAAGGCGACGAUCGGUAGCUGGUCUGAGAGGAUGACCAGCCACACUGGAACUGAGACACGGUCCAGACUCCUACGGGAGGCAGCAGUGGGGAAUAUUGGACAAUGGGGGCAACCCUGAUCCAGCAAUGCCGCGUGUGUGAAGAAGGCCUGAGGGUUGUAAAGCACUUUCGUUAGGGAGGAGGCUAGUUAGGUUAAGAGCUAGACUAGUGGACGUUACCUUUAGAAGAAGCACCGGCUAACUCCGUGCCAGCAGCCGCGGUAAUACGGAGGGUGCGAGCGUUAAUCGGAAUUACUGGGCGUAAAGGGUGCGUAGGUGGUCUGAUAAGUUAUCUGUGAAAUCCCUGGGCUCAACCUGGGCAGGUCAGAUAAUACUGUUGGACUCGAGUAUGGGAGAGGGUAGUGGAAUUUCCGGUGUAGCGGUGAAAUGCGUAGAGAUCGGAAGGAACACCAGUGGCGAAGGCGGCUACCUGGCCUAAUACUGACACUGAGGCACGAAAGCGUGGGGAGCAAACAGGAUUAGAUACCCUGGCAGUCCACGCUGUAAACGAUGUCAACUAGCUGUUGGUUAUAUGAAUAUAAUUAGUGGCGC